Alligator mississippiensis (American alligator) is the source of this 1498-nucleotide long non-coding RNA. RefSeq lists it as uncharacterized. NCBI's taxonomy places the organism in Eukaryota, Metazoa, Chordata, Crocodylia, Alligatoridae. The transcript has 3 exons. The record is from RefSeq and is a predicted model, not a curated record.
CCAGAAGCCCCAGCAGGGGCUUCUGGCCUGGGACCAGGUGGCUGCCCCUGCCAGAACCUCAGGUCUUCAGUAACUUUAUCCACAUCUUCAAGAUCAUCUAGUUUCAUGAGCCUUGUUAUGGAAAAAAACAAAUGUGGGGUAUUCAGCAUCACUGAUCUUCAAACUGUAGGUGACGUGCAGGGCGAAGAUUAAUUACUGACGAAGCUGCAGUGCUCCCAAGAGCAUGCCCUGAUGCAUUUGUUUUAGGACUGUUAGAUUUAGCACAACUCAUUGAGAGUGGCACUCAAGUAGACUGCCUUUUAGGUGGCUGCUCUUAAUUUUUCAUUAUUAAAUCAAAAUGAUACACCCUGGAAAUGUCAUUCUCACCAUGUCUCAAGGAACACAGCCGACCCAGGCAAGAUUAAGAGGGUUUCCAGUGUCUUUCCCAGUGCCCCUUCCCACAUCCCAUUCUACCCAUGCUCAAAACAGGAACCUUCCUAGAACCCUUCUCAUUAAACAGCACGAUGUGUUUCAAGUUUCUUCCUCCCUUGUCUCCCUGGGAUAUGAUGUGCUACCUUGACUACUGAAAUCCUGUUGUGAGAGCAGGACUGGUUCAGCCUCAGGAAGUGUAUUCUGUGUCUCAGCACAGAGAGAUGCCAUUGCCAGCCAGGUGAGCCCAGUGCCCAUUUAUUUCAGCUAAGAUAUUUUCAGAUGUGUGUAACCAGAUGGCACCUAAGUGCACUUAAAUUUAUAUCUCUAAUUUGGGCUUUCAUGUUUUAUGUAUAAGAAAGUCUUGAAAAAGUACAUUCCUGAGACUUUUCUUGGUCAGUUGCUGCGGAUUUAUUCCUAAUCAUAAUUUUAAAGUCAAUUUAUAGUAAAAAAAAAUGUCUUCCUUGGUCCCAUGCCUAGGCCUAUUUAUGAGGAGGUGUGUGCCUUUAUUCCCAAAGCUGUGGAAAUGAAGCUAAAUGGCUUAGGCUGCUGAAGUUCACUGCAGAGCUGAAGUGUCAGAUUGUUCUCUGGGACCACAGAAAGGGAUGGUAUGGGAAAUAAGAGAAGCUGUAGAGGACUAUUGGGUUCAGCCAUAGUAUACUGGUAGCACAGCCCUCCACUUCUUCCUGCAGUGCCUUCAUUAGCAGCCCUGGCUCUGCUCUGUACAGUUUUUGCUGCUUGAAGGUAAGAAUUUUGUCCCUUAUGCUGCAAAGCUGGCUUCCUCACUGAACAAAUCCCUUGGACACCACUUCCAGAAUCAGUCCCAUAAAUUAUACCUCCUCUUCAUUUCUUUCCUGGGCCAAAUUCAUUGUUUGAGUAAGGUUUUUCAUCCCCUAAAUAGAAGGCCUGACAGCAAUACAAGCACAACCUGCUUGGGGUAAAACAGAUGGUCUACCUAUGAGCUUUAUUAGGAAAUAUCUUAGGCUUUGAUAAUGAAAAGCCCUUGCCUUCUCCUUAGCUCUUCUCAGAUAUUUGUUAAAAUAUUUGUUAUGCAGAAUAUGAACAUUAAAAAAAAAAAGAUGACUUUACA